This 287-nucleotide ribosomal RNA is filed under the name uncultured Bacteroides sp. Its description in RNAcentral is "partial 16S ribosomal RNA". It matches the Rfam family "Bacterial small subunit ribosomal RNA", at positions 59 to 339 of the family's 1533-position model. The record is from RNAcentral. Lineage: Bacteria; Pseudomonadati; Bacteroidota; Bacteroidia; Bacteroidales; Bacteroidaceae.
AAGUCGAGGGGCAGCAUGAACUUAGCUUGCUAAGUUUGAUGGCGACCGGCGCACGGGUGAGUAACACGUAUCCAACCUGCCGAUGACUCGGGGAUAGCCUUUCGAAAGAAAGAUUAAUACCCGAUGGCAUAAUUCUUCCGCAUGGUAGAAUUAUUAAAGAAUUUCGGUCAUCGAUGGGGAUGCGUUCCAUUAGGUAGUAGGCGGGGUAACGGCCCACCAAGCCUUCGAUGGAUAGGGGUUCUGAGAGGAAGGUCCCCACAUUGGUACUGAGACACGGACCAAACUCC